GGGCGGUUAGCUCAGUUGGUUAGAGUACUACCUUGACAUGGUAGGGGCCACAGGUUCGAAUCCUGUAUCGCCCA
This 74-nucleotide transfer RNA is filed under the name Candidatus Omnitrophota bacterium. RNAcentral's name for it is "tRNA-Val". It matches the Rfam family "tRNA". From Rfam's summary of the family: Transfer RNA (tRNA) molecules are approximately 80 nucleotides in length. Their secondary structure includes four short double-helical elements and three loops (D, anti-codon, and T loops). Lineage: Bacteria; Pseudomonadati; Candidatus Omnitrophota. The record is from RNAcentral.